CACGUAGGACGCAAGCGUUAUCCGGAAUUACUGGGCGUAAAGAGCGUGUAGGCGGUGCUGUAAGUCAACCGUGAAAGCUCCCGGCUAAACUGGGAGAGGUCGGAUGAGACUGCAGCGCUAGUGGGUCGUAGAGGAAUGUGGAAUUCCGGGUGUAGUGGUGAAAUGCGUAGAUAUCGGGAGGAACACCAGUGGCGAAGGCGACUUCCUGGCCUGUUCUUGACGCUGAGGCGCGAAAGCUAGGGGAGCAAACGGG
This 253-nucleotide ribosomal RNA is filed under the name uncultured bacterium. Its description in RNAcentral is "partial 16S ribosomal RNA". It matches the Rfam family "Bacterial small subunit ribosomal RNA", at positions 524 to 776 of the family's 1533-position model. The record is from RNAcentral.